UACACAUAUGAAAUGAACAUAAAGUUUUAGAAGAACGAAGAUUGAAUGCAAUCACAUCCAUUGAGGAUUCCUUUACUUGCUGAAGUUUGUAGUGUACAAAUGUGAUUUUGCCUGCUCUUCACUCUGCGGCCAUAUAUAGCCCUCUGAGCGAGCACACUCUCUGCCACUACAGAUGUCUAAUUUAACGGUUUCCACACGAGUCAGAGGUGUUCAUGCGUCAACAAUUGGAGCUGUUCUUGCACAUUGCCUGCUUUUUUCCUCAGAGCAGGAGGACUAGUAGCAGACAGAUGGAGGGGCAGAGUGACAUGGAAAGCAACAGAGCAGAGGAGAGAAGGAACCUUUCGUGUUGCUCUGUAGCCUGGAUUACAGCGAAGAUAAAGCCAGAGAUAAUACAUCCUCUUACAUGCUCCUGUUGUGUCUCGCAUGCACCGACAAACACACCUUUCCCUUCAUCGGUUUUAAUCUCGCACAAUGGAGUCUCAACAGUUCCCUUCCUUUUGUACUUCCCACUCUCAAACAACACUUCUGUUCAGCCAGCCAUCUGUUAAUGUCGAGGCUCACAUCUGCGCUGCUGUAGAAAUAAAUACAUUAAGCUGUCUCCAGACAAAUCUUACCUACUUGGUGUUAUUUUGUAAUACCUGUAUAGAACAUUUACACCUUCACAACCUUAAAACUGAAGCUUUCCCCACAUUAUUAAAGGCUAAAACCUCGCUUUACGGCUUUUACCUGUGGACAUACUUUGUGUGUGUGC
Larimichthys crocea (large yellow croaker) is the source of this 751-nucleotide long non-coding RNA. RefSeq lists it as uncharacterized. The transcript is spliced from 2 exons. The record is from RefSeq and is a predicted model, not a curated record. NCBI's taxonomy places the organism in Eukaryota, Metazoa, Chordata, Actinopteri, Sciaenidae.